Molecule: ribosomal RNA, 347 nt
Filed under: uncultured Xylariales
Lineage: Eukaryota; Fungi; Ascomycota; Sordariomycetes; Xylariales
Description: SSU rRNA
Rfam family: Eukaryotic small subunit ribosomal RNA
Source: RNAcentral
GUAGUCAUAUGCUUGUCUCAAAGAUUAAGCCAUGCAUGUCUAAGUAUAAGCAAUUAUACAGCGAAACUGCGAAUGGCUCAUUAAAUCAGUUAUCGUUUAUUUGAUAGUACCUUACUACUUGGAUAAUCGUGGUAAUUCUAGAGCUAAUACAUGCUAAAAAUCCCGACUCACGAAGGGAUGUAUUUAUUAGAUUAAAAACCAAUGCCCUUCGGGGCUCUCUGGUGAUUCAUAAUAACUUCUCGAAUCGCAUGGCCUUGCGCCGGCGAUGGUUCAUUCAAAUUUCUGCCCUAUCAACUUUCGAUGGCAGGGUCUUGGCCUGCCAUGGUUACAACGGGUAACGGGGAAUA